GGGCGGAUAAUUCUUCUUUGGAGGUUGAAUAUCAAAUUCCUGCUCCUCUUCAUCUUCAUCUAAAUUUAUUAUAUCUCAAGAUAAUAUUUUAUCCUUUCAGAAUAUGCAGGAAUCUUUGAAUUACUGAAGGCACCACAGUCACCUAGUUAAAAAUUUCUCUAAUCUGUCCAUUGUGACUGAAUCUUACUUCCUCUUCUUCUUCACCUUCACUACUGUCAAUUUCAAUAAUUUCUUUUUCCUCCUCCUCAUCUUCACUACUCCCAAUCUUCACAACUUCCCUUUCAACUUUUCUUUUACUCCUUGUGACAACAACUUUGCAUUCCUCUUUAGGGUUAACAUCAGUGUUAGCCCUAAAUUGGUUCUUUUCAGUGGUUUAUACCCUUUUUGACAUCUGGCCAAUUUGCAUCUCCAAAGAUCUGAAACUAGCUUAGU
Molecule: long non-coding RNA, 432 nt
Filed under: Vigna radiata
Lineage: Eukaryota; Viridiplantae; Streptophyta; Magnoliopsida; Fabales; Fabaceae
Description: long non-coding RNA (VRAD_LNC000542)
Source: RNAcentral